GGGUUGUGAGGUUAAGCGACUAAGCGUACACGGUGGAUGCCCUGGCAGUCAGAGGCGAUGAAGGACGUGCUAAUCUGCGAAAAGCGUCGGUAAGGUGAUAUGAACCGUUAUAACCGGCGAUGUCCGAAUGGGGAAACCCAGUGUGAUUCGUCACACUAUCGUUAACUGAAUACAUAGGUUAACGAGGCGAACCGGGGGAACUGAAACAUCUAAGUACCCCGAGGAAAAGAAAUCAACCGAGAUUCCCCCAGUAGCGGCGAGCGAACGGGGAGCAGCCCAGAGUCUGAAUCAGCUUGUGUGU
This 301-nucleotide ribosomal RNA is filed under the name Klebsiella pneumoniae. RNAcentral describes it as "partial 23S ribosomal RNA". It matches the Rfam family "Bacterial large subunit ribosomal RNA", at positions 1 to 289 of the family's 2925-position model. The record is from RNAcentral. Lineage: Bacteria; Pseudomonadati; Pseudomonadota; Gammaproteobacteria; Enterobacterales; Enterobacteriaceae.